RNAcentral lists this ribosomal RNA (496 nucleotides) under uncultured bacterium. RNAcentral's name for it is "partial 16S ribosomal RNA". It matches the Rfam family "Bacterial small subunit ribosomal RNA", at positions 29 to 507 of the family's 1533-position model. The record is from RNAcentral.
AUGAACGCUGGCGGCGUGCCUAAUACAUGCAAGUCGAGCGAACAGACGAGGAGCUUGCUCCUCUGACGUUAGCGGCGGACGGGUGAGUAACACGUGGAUAACCUACCUAUAAGACUGGGAUAACUUCGGGAAACCGGAGCUAAUACCGGAUAAUAUAUUGAACCGCAUGGUUCAAUAGUGAAAGACGGUUUUGCUGUCACUUAUAGAUGGAUCCGCGCCGCGUUAGCUAGUUGGUAAGGUAACGGCUUACCAAGGCAACGAUGCGUAGCCGACCUGAGAGGGUGAUCGGCCACACUGGAACUGAGACACGGUCCAGACUCCUACGGGAGGCAGCAGUAGGGAAUCUUCCGCAAUGGGUGAAAGCCUGACGGAGCAACGCCGCGUGAGUGAUGAAGGUCUUCGGAUCGUAAAACUCUGUUAUUAGGGAAGAACAAAUGUGUAAGUAACUAUGCACGUCUUGACGGUACCUAAUCAGAAAGCCACGGCUAACUACGUG